GAUGAACGCUGGCGGCGUGCCUAAUACAUGCAAGUCGAGCGAACAGAUGAGGAGCUUGCUCCUCUGACGUUAGCGGCGGACGGGUGAGUAACACGUGGAUAACCUACCUAUAAGACUGGGAUAACUUCGGGAAACCGGAGCUAAUACCGGAUAAUAUAUUGAACCGCAUGGUUCAAUAGUGAAAGACGGUUUUGCUGUCACCUAUAGAUGGAUCCGCGCCGCAUUAGCUAGUUGGUAAGGUAACGGCUUACCAAGGCGACGAUGCGUAGCCGACCUGAGAGGGUGAUCGGCCACACUGGAACUGAGACACGGUCCAGACUCCUACGGGAGGCAGCAGUAGGGAAUCUUCCGCAAUGGGCGAAAGCCUGACGGAGCAACGCCGCGUGAGUGAUGAAGGUCUUCGGAUCGUAAAACUCUGUUAUUAGGGAAGAACAAAUGUGUAAGUAACUAUGCACGUCUUGACGGUACCUAAUCAGAAAGCCACGGCUAACUACGU
Molecule: ribosomal RNA, 496 nt
Filed under: uncultured bacterium
Lineage: Bacteria
Description: partial 16S ribosomal RNA
Rfam family: Bacterial small subunit ribosomal RNA
Source: RNAcentral